UAUGAACGCUGGCGGCGUGCCUAAUACAUGCCAGUCGAGCGAACGGACGAGAAGCUUGCUUCUCUGAUGUUAGCGGCGGACGGGUGAGUAACACGUGGAUAACCUACCUAUAAGACUGGGAUAACUUCGGGAAACCGUAGCUAAUACCGGAUAAUAUUUUGAACCGCAUGGUUCAAAAGUGAAAGACGGUCUUGCUGUCACUUAUAGAUGGAUCCGCGCUGCAUUAGCUAGUUGGUAAGGUAACGGCUUACCAAGGCAACGAUGCAUAGCCGACCUGAGAGGGUGAUCGGCCACACUGGAACUGAGACACGGUCCAGACUCCUACGGGAGGCAGCAGUAGGGAAUCUUCCGCAAUGGGCGAAAGCCUGACGGAGCAACGCCGCGUGAGUGAUGAAGGUCUUCGGAUCGUAAAACUCUGUUAUUAGGGAAGAACAUAUGUGUAAGUAACUGUGCACAUCUUGACGGUACCUAAUCAGAAAGCCACGGCUAACUACGUG
RNAcentral lists this ribosomal RNA (497 nucleotides) under uncultured bacterium. RNAcentral describes it as "partial 16S ribosomal RNA". It matches the Rfam family "Bacterial small subunit ribosomal RNA", at positions 29 to 507 of the family's 1533-position model. The record is from RNAcentral.